Molecule: long non-coding RNA, 8383 nt
Organism: Pteropus alecto (black flying fox)
Lineage: Eukaryota; Metazoa; Chordata; Mammalia; Chiroptera; Pteropodidae
Exons: 7
Source: RefSeq, a predicted model, not a curated record
CGGCGUGAGGGGAGGACAGCGAGGGCGCAGAAGCAGCUAGGGCUGAGGGGACCCUUAGUUUGUGUGUUGUCCCUGUUCCCCAGAGGGAAAGAAUGGAGGGCACGGGCCUCGGCUCUGCGAAGCGGUGCGGACCACGUUCUUCCCGCUGGGAAGCGGGGACGGAGUCGCCGGAGCCCGGGGUCGAGGCAGCUGAGCGGCGGUAUUUUCCCUCACGUCCCCGGUUGUAAACGUGGGUGCCGCACGCUCAGCAGUACUGCAGGUGACGACGAGUGCCAUCAGAAGCCCUGCCGGCCCCGCUGAGGCCACUGGGGAAGUCGGACGGGCCGCAGUCAGCCCCGCGCCGUCCUGACUCCCUCAGAGCCUGGGGACGCCACGUGCCACAGAAGUGUUCGGAUUCGUCACUGGAAGACUGAACAGUGGUGUCCGAGCGCGUGCUCCGCCAUGGCGCGAAAAUCUUUGAUGCUUCAAACCACCUGGGAUGUUGUUAAAAAUACCUAUUCCCGGGCAGCCAGAAACCGUGUCAUCGGUCAGGAGCGACGCCGAGACUUAAUCUGUCACUCAGCGGGUUCACCAGCGAGCCCGAGUGAGUCGCCGUCGCCGUGGGUGUCAUGACGAGGCGUCUGGGCAGCUUCGGGGAGUCGGUGGAAGUUCGGGGGGGUUCUCCACGUGCCAUGCGAGAAGGGAUGGCCGCGACGCCGGACCCCGCCGUCCUUCAGCAGGCAUCGAUUGAGUGCUUGCUGAGGGCCAGAGACUGUUCUAGAUAGUCCCAAAGUUCUGCCAUUGUAGAGCUGUCAUUCCUGUGAGGGCAGGCAAAGGAAUAAAUGCUGCCCGCCGCCGCGUGUCAGUGCGGUGGAGGCGGAGCAGGCUGACUGAACGAGGGUCGUAGACGGUGACAGUGGUCUUUGUGUCUCUGCCGGAAGCCGUCACGAGGCUGCGCAGCGGACGAUGUCUGCGAAAGGCACGCGGGAGACGCCGCCAGCUGCUCCGUGUGACGGACAGUGUGGCGAGUAAGGAGACCUUUUAUACAACUUGUCAAGUUCUCACUACAGAUAUCAUUGGAAUUGCGAUUGGAAUGGCAUUGAAUGUAUUGGUUACCUUUUGGAGAAUGGUCGUCUUUAUAACCUUCUCAUACACCAACGUGGACAUGUAGCCGCCGGAGACCUUCGAACCCUCCAGUACGAAAGCUAACUGGUUGUGUUCUCACUACGAAAGCUUAAAAUCAGAGAGCUGCCUGGCGCGGUGCUGGGUGACGGGGACGCGGAGAUGAAUGAGACACGGUCCCUGCCCUCCAGGACCGCUCGGUCUAGUGGGAGUUCGACGCGGGCACAGGUAAUUACGACAGUGUGCUGCGCUCUCCAUUGGAGGUACGUACAAGGAACUAGUGGGGUUCGGAAGAGGAACCAUUCGACUGAGUCUGGAGGUGCUAGAGGUGCGGGGAACUGGGGCUUAAGUUGACUCUUAAGUAAAGGUUGAUCAGACGGAAAGCGGAAAAGGACAGUCUAAGAACAGGCGUGGACGCCGGACAGAGGAUGAGUUGGGGGAAGUGCGCGCGGUCCCUGAAACGCACGCCAGGAAUCGGGCCUAACACAGUGUGCCACGAAGUCUGGGUAAGGCGGGGAUGCUCCUGCUUCGCUCUGGCAGCAGCAUCAAGCACGUUCUGGGAGAUUUUCACAUCUGGACCGGGGGAGCAGUUAGAAAGAUGCUGUAAGAGUUACCGUGAUAGAUGGUCUACGGCCAAAAGGAGCGGGAGUGGAGAUGGGGCAGCCUUUCAAAUCGGGGGGCACGAAAACGCAGACGUAGUAGACCAUGGGGAAAUUAAGGUGGUGAGGAGGGGAAGUCAGGGCUUCCAGCCUCUGGGAAACGAGCUUCCCCCCGCCGCCACCCCUGGCCUUGACAAAGAUCUCGCGCCCUUCAGAUGGGUGCUGCUGCUGUGGGAGCCUUCUCUACCGGGGCCGCACAGGUUUUUUGUUUCCUUUGAAAUGUUGAUGCUCAGGAAGACACGUGAACAGCUUCAGAGCGCUUACAGUGUCACUAAGUUCCUGGUCCUUCUCAUUGGCGGCAGGGCUACUACCAUCACUACACAUGCCAACCAAAGCGUUUUUUUUUCUUUUUUUUAAACACAUGUAGGGGCUUUUCUAUCUAAAACCCACCCAGGGAAGAAACGGCCUUAGUUGUCAUUCUCAAUUGCUUUCUUUUGCUUACGGAUUUAAAAACACUUAUGGUUACGUCUUCAAGUAAAGAAUAUAUUAAUUAAAAAUCUAAACUUAUGAAAUGUUUUCUUCUAUUCUGAAAGCCAUACAGUGUAUUUUGGAGAAUUCCCCACUUCAGACUCAGAGCAGCAAUGCUGGGGAUUCAGAGGGUGGCUUUCUGUGGCCAGUCCGCCUCACGGGAGAUUGUAGUUAAGUAGGCCUCAUGCAGUUUCAGUCGCAACAGGCAGGGUUGGGAGAGGAAGUCCUGAGUGGGACAGCAAAGCAGCACAGUGAGAAUCGGCCUUGGCACCAGAUAGUCUGGGCCCAGAGCUGCUGACACUUGCCGACGUGGCCUUCAGCACAGCUUUUCACCUGAGACUGUUUCCCUAAUGUGAAAUAGGGAUGAUAUCUUUUUGCGACGAUUUUGGUGAAGGAGGGAGGAAAUGUAAGGCUUUAAAGGCUUAGAACAGGUCUGGAAUAUGUUAAAUGCUGUGUCACCUGUAGUUGCUGCUGCUGAUGUUGGCUGUGAGAAGGAUGAAGACAGUUAACUAGAGGGAUGCUUGGUGUUUCAUGUCAGUGAGGAUGUUGGGGUUAGGGAGAGAGAGAAACCAGUCUCAAGGUGGUCGACGGCAUGCUGGCGUGAGGUCUCUCCACCCUUCUCUCUCUGCCGAAGUUUGGGAAAGCCGAUGAAUGCUGUCCUCUCUGAUCACUAACGUGCUGCCUUUGUUCUUAUUUCCAAAUAGAAAGGUGUUGAAAAGUCGUUACACCUGAACACAGGUGAUCUUAAAAACAGAUGCUUUGGAAUUGGUCAAAACUGGAUUUGAAAGCUGACUCCACUACUACCUGUGUGAUCUGAGGCAUGUCACUUAACCUCACUGAACCUCAGUUUCUUCUUCACCUAAUCUAAUAAUUGAUUUGCAGGCUUUCCAUGAGGACGUUUGUGAAGGGUAUGCCAUAAACACGCUAUAUAUCACAGCUAUUAUUGUUAGUUCUUGGGACACUCACUGCGUGACAAACAGCAGGCCCUGGUGGCUGGGAGGAUUUCAUGGACCUAACAGCGACCUGGACUUGUGCUGUCCUGAAGAAGUCCUGCUCGGAUGGAUAUAAUACAACCUGCUAAGUGUCCCAGCACUUAGCAGGUUGUAUUAUCAUUGUCCGUGUCUACGGCUGUCGUCUGCCAGACUCCAAAUUCCUUACGGGCCGGGACAGUGCCCUGCUCAUCUGUGUAUUCGCGGUGCCUAAUCCAGUGCACAUUGUAGGCCUCAUUAAAUGUUUGUUGAAUGAAAAAAUGAAUCAUCAACAGACAUUAAUUGGGCGCCUGCUCUGUGAUCUCCAUGGGCUGAACUUCUCCUGGCCGCUCACCUGCGACGUCCAAGCUGUCUACGACAUGCUUUCUGCUGAGGCUCAGUGCUACCUGCUCACUCUGUCGCUGAGGACUUGCCCGUGUAGCGCAAGGGUAGUGGAUAUGCUUAAUCUCGAUGCCAUCUACACCUGACGGCGCUGCCCGCAGCGCCACAGGAAACGGCUUCGCAAGCCAGGCCUCAGCUCAGUGGGAAAGGGUGUCGUAGCUACCCAGCGACGUUUGCUGAGGGGGGGAGCAGGGGGACCUGUGGCACAAGUACCACACGUGUCACACGUGAAAUACUGCGGUUGCUAUGCCUGCACGUUAGCCACGGCUACUUGCACAUGUUGCAUGGCUGCCAUGGCAGCUGCCUGCUGCCCCUCAGGUCAGCUGCGCCCUCACCUACCCCGGCAGGCCGGCCCCCGCCGUGUGUCCACCACUGAACAGGUUGUCGUUAUCUUUUCCUUACCGUCCUUAAUCAUUAUUGCCCCAUGAGAAGCCUCCCUUCGGUAAGAUGUGACAACCAGAACACAAGUGAAAGUGUCGUCGGGGCCCUGCAGUGAGCCCCAUGUGCUCUGCUUGAACGUGGAGAACACAGUGUGCUCGCAGGCUGCGGUGGGGACUGACCAGCGAGCCCUGUAGAUGUGGGGACAGAUGACCGCGGACGGGAUGAGAUCCUGACAGGUGAUGCAGGUAGGGGUGGGAGAGCGAAUGGGCUCCGGCCCCAGGCCCGGCCACCGGAGCGUGGAGACGGGUGAGUGGUGCACAGGAACAUGGCCAGGGAUGGGUUAUGGAGGCAAAGCAGUGUUUCUAAGGAAUGUCCAAAAUACACGGCCCGAAGGCGGGAGUGGGGCCGUGAACCAGAGCACUUACAGCAUGUGUUUCAAACUUGACUAGAAACUCAGGAAGUGUUCCUGGGGCGGCAUUACGAGGAACGUUUGGUUGCCCAGGACUGACCUUGACUGACGGGCGGAAAGCUAGCAAGAGAGGAGUUGCAGAGAAAGGGAUUUGAGAAUCCAGACUGGACAGAGAAGUUGGGUCAGAAGUGAGCUGAGAGGCUGCAGAGAGGCCUUGGCGUCAUGGCGAUGCGUGUAGAGUACUUGGAAAACUGGACCUGUAGUCAGUGGGUUUUGGAAUGAGAUUUGCGAACUGCAGUGGUUAAGACACCUGUGCAGCUAGGAUGGCAGAUGGUCCACUUACAUGGAUACUUAGCGAGUCAGGAUCAUAGUAUCUAGGCUGGGGAUGAACACUGUGGGCCACAUCCAACAGGCGUCGGUGACUGAGGAAUGACGGGGACGUUGGCACGUGGCAGGUGGGGAAUGUAGCAAAGCAGCGCCACGCACCUCAGACUGGGGAUUAUUAGGAGAUGUGAAAAUUGCUCUGCACGUUGCAGGGAGGUCUGGCUGGCAGGGCGCCCAGCUAACAUGAUCCCCUGCACAUUGAGUGCUUUAUGCCCCCGGCACCUUGCUGCCUGCUACCCAUGUGCGCAUUUGGGGUCUCUAACCUUUCAGGUGUGAGGACGAGCAGCAGUUCCAGGCCAGGCCAGCUAGGGGCGCUGGCGAUCCUUAGCACGGGGGGAACCCUACAGCCGUCUCCUGACUCUGAAAGAGCAGCAGACUGGUCAGCUUGAGGUGGCUAAGAUUUCUUUAGGAUCAGAAGUUUUCCUUUCCAGUGACCUAACUUCUUUACGUGGUACAAGCGCUUGUCAGCCGCGUCCCCUACCAUACUCUGGCUCCUAGGCCUGACUCGAGUCUGAGCUUGCACUACCCUUUGAGAAAACUCAGGACAGUCCUUUAAAAACAUACUGACACAGCCCUGUCAUCUAAUUGAGCCUUGAGAGAAAGGGGAGGCCACAGAAAGCUCACGGCAAUGGGGGAUCACGAAGCUGCCCGUGAGCCAUCCCGAGGUCAGUGGCCACAGUGGAGAUGGCCCGUGCUGCUGGGAGAAGGGCCGGAAGGUGACGCAGGCCGGUGGCCCCGCCGACGCUGCAUGCCCCGUUUGCCUUCACGUUGCAGUCUUCCCGUGAGCCGCUCAGGCUGAGGCACCGUGUCAGCUGCUGGAGGACUCCACGUGACAAGACGACCAGCGUCUCGCGUCACCGUCACACAGCAUGUAACAGAACACUUGCUCUCCCGAGACUGCGUGCGCAGCCCUCGGCACGCCCUCCCCUCCCCACUGUGCUGUGACUUCCUGCAACCCGCAGCCCACGUGUCCCGCAGAAAUGAACCCCUCUAAAACACGGCGUCCCCUCUAAAUCACGGCAUCGCGCUCGCCGUCAGGCCUCCAGUACUUCAUAGUGGGGUCUCUGAUGCUGGAACACAGGCCACCGCAGGCGAGUCUGGGUUUCAGCAACCAAGGACCCCGGCGUCACAGAGGGCAGGCAGUCGGCUGAUGGGAAAGUGACCUCUGUCCCUGCGCCUGUCCUUUUUCCUUCAGCCCCACGACUCGGAUACCACCGAUGAAAGCGAGUCACGAUUUUCUCGUCCCCCUGGCCCUGGUUGGGCCACUGCCAUGCCGUGGGGAGUCAGUCUCUUUCCUCAGUACCUCUCCCCUUCUCCCGAGACCGGCGUGGAUGCUGAGGGUGGGGUGGGACCCAACAGUUACCUGCGGCUGGGACAGCCCUGUUAGGCAGGCCCUGCUCCUGCCGUCCCAGCUGAUGGUGACAUGCGAGGAGGGCCUGCCCCCCACCCACUGACCCCUCUGACUGGGUCAUCAGAGAUGAACAGUUCGGACGCAUGGUUGAUAUAUAGCUAUGGAUGAUGUGCAGCUAUAGAAAGCUUGCGGGUCAAUAGCGAACGACAGUAGGGGGCAGGGUGACGGUUUCCCUUUGGGGGGAUGGGCAGCACAGGGCGUGGAGGAAGCAGGAAGCGGAAGGUCAGCGCCUUUCAGCUGUUCCCAGCGAUCCCUUCGGGCACCCUCAGUCACGCCUCCUGUGCCUUAGGCUGGGCCUCACCUGUCCUUUCUGCAGACCCCUUCCAGGGCGCGCCUGACUCCGAUGGCUUCGCCCGCUUUUGCUUCCCUUCCCUUCCCCUCCCCAGGCCCCCUGUAAUAGCGCCCACGCGGGCAGAGCUCUGCUGUGCACGAAGCCUCAGUGAGUGCUGGGACCGACACCCACGUGUCUCUCUGGACGUGCGGAGGAGCGGAGGGCAGGGAGGCGGGAGAGGGAGGCUGUGAAGUCCCAUAACGGAGUAACGAGCGCUUGACAUUUGAGUGGAUACGGCGCUCACGUGAAUAAAGGACACGAACCUGAGAGGCAGCAUCUGUGACACGGGAGGGCAGGAGGGGAGAAAAGGGAGGGCGGCCACAAAACCCCGUGCCUCAGUGCAGGAGGCACCGAGUGUCGCUUCAGAAACCCGUAACUUUCGAAGGUGGGUUGACGGGAAGUUGCGUUUCCGUCGCUACUUGUCGGAAUCACUGUCCUCGGGUCGCGCCACCUUCGUGGAGCUUUCCCUUGACCCCUGUUGAGAAACAACACAGAACAAGGGUUGCAACUUAGAACUCUGGUUCGAUCGCAGGGUGUUACAGGAGUAAUACCUCGUUUUUAAAGGUAGGAUCGGUGGGCCCGAGGCAGUGGCGCGAUGGCUCCAGACAGCCCCGGUCACCAGAUGCGGCAUAAGGAAACGCACAGUGAGCGCUCAGUCCUUGAACUUACUGUCAUUCCCCAGAGCAGGACCGAAUGACCAAAACCAAAAGAAGAGCUGCUUUGGGGAAGGGUUUGAAAAGAUCCUUUCAUCGAAGAAGGGAAAUGUCCGGUUAUGUCACUUGGGCUUUAAAGACACCUGUUCCCCACAUGGCUCAUGGACAUUGACACCAGCGUCAGCUUGUGGCCCGCUAGGCCACUCGGAGGCCUCGUGAUCUUGGAGAGGGUGCUGCUACUCUCUCCCCCUUUAGCAGGUGUUCGUCUUCAGUGAGUCCAGUACCUGAAGGAGCAAGAGGACAAGCACCCAGGUGACAGCAGUGUGGCCUUCUGAGUACACACAGCAACUGAAACGAUUAUAGGUUUGCCUGGGUCGUGCUGGGCUUGUUCUUCCAAAAUAAAAUUUUUCUUAAUGAUAAAAAGAUCAUUGUUAAAAAAUAAAAAAGGUAUCAAUUAAAAAGAAUGCCUGCAGUUAUAUAAUCCAAAAAAAUAAGUCAACAUUUGAGUUUAUUUCCUUUUGCUCUUAAAAAAAAAAGACAACAUAUACCAUAAUUUAAAACCAAAAUUGGCAUCACAUUGUAUAUGUUCUCUAACUUUUCUCAUUUGAAAGUAAAAAGGCAUCUGGGCAUAUCAUUAGCAUUCUUUGAGAACACAAUAUUAAAUGUUAAUAAUAUUUCACAUGGAGCUAACAAGCUAUAAGAUCCCAAGCUGCUAGACAUUUUUGAUAUCACGUUUUUAAAAUUAAAAUUAAUGAAGAUCAUUGUACAUUAAUUUCUAUGUGUAUCUUUCUCCAUAAAAAAAAUGUCUAGAAUUGGAAUUACUGAGUUUGAAAGAGAACAGCAUUCCUGGGGCACCUGAAAGGUUUUUAAUUGUCCUCAAUAUAUUCGUAGAAAAUAUAAUUUCUACGAAUAUAUAAAUGUACAUAUAAAUGUGCAUAUUUCUUUACACAUUCAUCAAAAUAGGGCUUCUCUAUAAAUCUCUGUUCAUUUGAUAAGCAAAAAUGUACAUGUUGUUUUAGAUUCUUCUAAUUUAUAUACAAAAAAUUUACUUUAUGGUAUAUAGUUCUGUGAGUUUUGACCAGUAUAAAGUCAUGUAUCCAGAGUCUAAGGGUAGAUCUGAAAGAUCAUUCAUGAUCCUUACACUGUAAACUCCUCCCCUUAAAUGUGGAUAGAACCUGUGUCUUCUAAUAAAUAAGAUAUGCCAAAUGUGGUGGGA